ACUUAGUAGGUGGGAGUUCAUUGGUGUAAAUGCAGCACUGAGGGUGGCCAUUUUUCUUCCCAAGACUGGAAAAUUAAUGAAAUGAAGAUAGAAACACCACAGAAAAGAUGAGAAAGAAUCUUCAGCAUCUAUGAUUUCUACUUCAGGUCUUCUCAUCAUUGCAAAACCACGGAAAUAUUUUGUCAGUGAAUACUGAAAUAAGGCAAGGUACUUGACGAUUAUCACAGUUACUGAUGGUGGUUCUGUAGAGCAUGUUAGUGAACCUGGAAAAGAAAACGAGCCUAGCACUGAAAUGCUGGAAUGUGCAAAUUGUAAAACUGGUGCUAAUCUCACAACCUUAGAAAAUGGAAGAAAAUCAACAAAAGAUAGUUUUCAAAUAAGCAUUUUAUGAAAUAUUAACAAAAGCCUUUCAAAAUAUAGUGCAAAAAUAGCUUUUUACAAAUUUCAAUUGUGUCUAAUUCAGCAAUGGAUGUAACAAGAGACAUAGGUGACAUUAGGAAAGAAAUAUUUUAGAAUAUAGAAGAAAGGGAUCUCGGAUAUAUGCAUCAAUUCCUCAAGAUGAAUGUAUUUAUUAUGUACCUGAAGCAUAUAUUGAUAAAAAGAGAAAAAAGGCAAAAAGCCCAUUAAUUGUCAUCCAUUGACUGUUUUAAGAGUUAAAGCAUGCAAACGAUUAUAAUUGAUCCCAUCUGAAUCCAUAAGCGUAAUA
Long non-coding RNA from Chinchilla lanigera (long-tailed chinchilla), 706 nucleotides. RefSeq lists it as uncharacterized. The record is from RefSeq and is a predicted model, not a curated record. The transcript is spliced from 3 exons. Lineage: Eukaryota; Metazoa; Chordata; Mammalia; Rodentia; Chinchillidae.